GAUGAACGCUAGCGGCAGGCUUAACACAUGCAAGUCGAGGGGUAGUUUACUUCGGUAAAUGAGACCGGCGCACGGGUGCGUAACGCGUAUGCAAUCUACCUUGUACAGGGGGAUAGCCCAGAGAAAUUUGGAUUAAUACCCCAUAGUAUUAUGAUGUGGCAUCACAUUAUUAUUAAAGUUCCAACGGUACAAGAUGAGCAUGCGUCCCAUUAGCUAGUUGGUGUGGUAACGGCAUACCAAGGCAACGAUGGGUAGGGGUCCUGAGAGGGAGAUCCCCCACACUGGUACUGAGACACGGACCAGACUCCUACGGGAGGCAGCAGUGAGGAAUAUUGGGCAAUGGUCGCAAGACUGACCCAGCCAUGCCGCGUGCAGGAUGACGGUCCUAUGGAUUGUAAACUGCUUUUGUACAGGAAGAAACACUGGUACGUGUACCAGCUUGACGGUACUGUAAGAAUAAGGAUCGGCUAACUCCGUGCCAGCAGCCGCAGUAAGAC
Molecule: ribosomal RNA, 497 nt
Filed under: uncultured bacterium
Lineage: Bacteria
Description: bacterial SSU rRNA
Rfam family: Bacterial small subunit ribosomal RNA
Source: RNAcentral